CCUACGGGUGGCAGCAGUGAGGAAUAUUGGUCAAUGGGCGCGAGCCUGAACCAGCCAAGUCGCGUGAGGGAAGACGGUCCUAUGGAUUGUAAACCUCUUUUGUCGGGGAGCAAAAGACGCCACGCGUGGCGUUCCGAGAGUACCCGAAGAAAAAGCAUCGGCUAACUCCGUGCCAGCAGCCGCGGUAAUACGGGGGAUGCGAGCGUUAUCCGGAUUUAUUGGGUUUAAGGGGUGCGCAGGCGGAAGGUUAAGGCAGCGGUAACAUUUCGGGGCUCAACCUGUGCGAGCCGUUGAAACUGGUUUUCUUGAGUGAGCGAGAGGUAUGCGGAAUGCGUGGUGUAGCGGUGAAAUGCAUAGAUAUCACGCAGAACUCCGAUUGCGAAGGCAGCAUACCGGCGCUCAACUGACGCUCAUGCACGAAAGUGUGGGUAUCGAACAGGAUUAGAUACCCCAGUAGUC
Molecule: ribosomal RNA, 459 nt
Filed under: uncultured bacterium
Lineage: Bacteria
Description: partial 16S ribosomal RNA
Rfam family: Bacterial small subunit ribosomal RNA
Source: RNAcentral